CUCCCCCUGCGUGGUUCGUGAUCUGUUUGUUUUUAACCCACAAAACGACGAAAAGGGAUUCCGCGUUCUCUCGCGGUUCGCAGGCCUCCCGCCUGCCUUUUGCGGGCGGAAGUUGGAAGCGGUAAAACGAGAGACAGGUUGCCCACCUGGACAAUAUGUGCAGGUUAUUUUCGGCAGACACGGCCUUAUCGCGGGGGACAA
This 201-nucleotide non-coding RNA is filed under the name Clostridiales bacterium. RNAcentral describes it as "6S RNA". It matches the Rfam family "6S / SsrS RNA". Rfam says of the family: E. coli 6S RNA was the first non coding RNA to be sequenced, but its function was unknown until recently. The record is from RNAcentral. Lineage: Bacteria; Bacillati; Bacillota; Clostridia; Eubacteriales.